UCUUGGUGCUACAUGACCUUGGGGCAUGAUCUGAUCAGAUCUCAAAGUCAGUAGGGAUGGGCUUAGUCAGAACUUGACUAGGUGACUUCAAAGAAAUACCAGGUGCAAUAGGAA
Ribosomal RNA from Coturnix japonica (Japanese quail), 114 nucleotides. NCBI's taxonomy places the organism in Eukaryota, Metazoa, Chordata, Aves, Galliformes, Phasianidae. The record is from Ensembl.